UACGAAGGGGGCUAGCGUUGUUCGGAAUCACUGGGCGUAAAGCGCACGUAGGCGGACUGUUAAGUCAGGGGUGAAAUCCUGGGGCUCAACCCCAGAACUGCCCUUGAUACUGGCGGUCUUGGGUGUGGAAGAGGUUGGUGGAACUCCGAGUGUAGAGGUGAAAUUCGUAGAUAUUCGGAAGAACACCAGUGGCGAAGGCGGCCAACUGGUCCACUACUGACGCUGAGGUGCGAAAGCGUGGGGAGCAAACAGG
RNAcentral lists this ribosomal RNA (253 nucleotides) under uncultured bacterium. RNAcentral describes it as "partial 16S ribosomal RNA". It matches the Rfam family "Bacterial small subunit ribosomal RNA", at positions 524 to 776 of the family's 1533-position model. The record is from RNAcentral.